AAAAAAGCAAGGACCUAUUGCCUUUUUUGUGAAUGAGUCUCUUGUAAACUUUAGGGACAUCAAAAAUUGCAUUGUUAUUUCCAUAUAGGUUGUAUCAUGU
This is a small nucleolar RNA of Solanum dulcamara, 100 nucleotides long. RefSeq annotates it as small nucleolar RNA snoR74. The record is from RefSeq and is a predicted model, not a curated record. The transcript has a single exon. NCBI's taxonomy places the organism in Eukaryota, Viridiplantae, Streptophyta, Magnoliopsida, Solanales, Solanaceae.